RNAcentral lists this ribosomal RNA (538 nucleotides) under uncultured bacterium. Its description in RNAcentral is "bacterial SSU rRNA". It matches the Rfam family "Bacterial small subunit ribosomal RNA", at positions 355 to 895 of the family's 1533-position model. The record is from RNAcentral.
UGAGGAAUAUUGGUCAAUGGGCGAGAGCCUGAACCAGCCAAGUAGCGUGCAGGAUGACGGCCCUAUGGGUUGUAAACUGCUUUUAUAGGGGAAUAAAGUGAGCUACGUGUAGUUUAUUGCAUGUACCCUAUGAAUAAGGACCGGCUAAUUCCGUGCCAGCAGCCGCGGUAAUACGGAAGGUUCGGGCGUUAUCCGGAUUUAUUGGGUUUAAAGGGAGCGUAGGCCGUGGAUUAAGCGUGUUGUGAAAUGUAGAUGCUCAACAUCUGACUUGCAGCGCGAACUGGUUUACUAGAGUGUGCACAACGUAGGCGGAAUUCGUCGUGUAGCGGUGAAAUGCUUAGAUAUGACGAAGAACUCCGAUUGCGAAGGCAGCUUACGGGAGCACAACUGACGCUGAAGCUCGAAGGUGCGGGUAUCAAUAGGAUUAGAUACCCUGGUAGUCCGCACAGUAAACGAUGGAUGCCCGCUGUUGGUCCAUUAGGGUCAGCGGCCAAGCGAAAGCAUUAAGCAUCCCACCUGGGGAGUACGCCGGCNCGGU